CCCUUAGAUGUCCGGGGCUGCACGCGCGCUACACUGAAGGAAUCAGCGUGCUAAAACCAUUGUCGAAAGGCAUUGGUAAACCCAUUAAAAUCCUACGUGAUUGGGAUCGGGAAUUGCAAUUAUUUCCCUUGAACGAGGAAUUCCCAGUAAGUGUGGGUCAUAAGCUCGCGUUGAUUACGUCCCUGCCCUUUGUACACACCGCCCGUCGCUGCCCGGGACUGAGCCGUUUCGAGAAAAGCGGGGACUGCUGCUGUCGGGGCUUUCGGGCCUUGGCUUCGGUGGAAACCGGUUUAAUCGCAGUGGCUUGAACCGGGCAAAAGUCGUAACA
Molecule: ribosomal RNA, 328 nt
Filed under: uncultured eukaryote
Lineage: Eukaryota
Description: partial 18S ribosomal RNA
Rfam family: Eukaryotic small subunit ribosomal RNA
Source: RNAcentral